Molecule: ribosomal RNA, 484 nt
Filed under: uncultured bacterium
Lineage: Bacteria
Description: partial 16S ribosomal RNA
Rfam family: Bacterial small subunit ribosomal RNA
Source: RNAcentral
AUUGAACGCUGGCGGCAGGCCUAACACAUGCAAGUCGAGCGGAUGAAGGGAGCUUGCUCCUGGAUUCAGCGGCGGACGGGUGAGUAAUGCCUAGGAAUCUGCCUGGUAGUGGGGGAUAACGUCCGGAAACGGGCGCUAAUACCGCAUACGUCCUGAGGGAGAAAGUGGGGGAUCUUCGGACCUCACGCUAUCAGAUGAGCCUAGGUCGGAUUAGCUAGUUGGUGGGGUAAAGGCCUACCAAGGCGACGAUCCGUAACUGGUCUGAGAGGAUGAUCAGUCACACUGGAACUGAGACACGGUCCAGACUCCUGCGGGAGGCAGCAGUGGGGAAUAUUGGACAAUGGGCGAAAGCCUGAUCCAGCCAUGCCGCGUGUGUGAAGAAGGUCUUCUGAUUGUAAAGCACUUUAAGUUGGGAGGAAGGGCAGUAAGUUAAUACCUUGCUGUUUUGACGUUACCAACAGAAUAAGCACCGGCUAACUUCGUG